This 450-nucleotide ribosomal RNA is filed under the name uncultured Glomeromycotina. RNAcentral describes it as "SSU rRNA". It matches the Rfam family "Eukaryotic small subunit ribosomal RNA", at positions 569 to 1026 of the family's 1831-position model. Lineage: Eukaryota; Fungi; Glomeromycota. The record is from RNAcentral.
AGCAGCCGCGGUAAUUCCAGCUCCAAUAGCGUAUAUUAAAGUUGUUGCAGUUAAAAGCUCGUAGUUGAAUUUCGGGAUCAAUUUAUUGGUCGUGCAAUAGUACGUACUGGUAUUAUUGGUUCCUACCUUCUGAUGAACCAUGAUGUCAUUAAUUUGGUGUUAUGGGGGAUCAGGACUGUUACUUUGAAAAAUUAGAGUGUUUAAAGCAGGCUCACGCUUGAAUACAUUAGCAUGGAAUAAUGAAAUAGGACGUUUGAUUCUAUUUUGUUGGUUUCUAGGAUCGACGUAAUGAUUAAUAGGGAUAGUUGGGGGCAUUAGUAUUCAAUUGUCAGAGGUGAAAUUCUUGGAUUUAUUGAAGACUAACUACUGCGAAAGCAUUUGCCAAGGAUGUUUUCAUUAAUCAAGAACGAAAGUUAGGGGAUCGAAGACGAUCAGAUACCGUCGUAGUCU